Molecule: ribosomal RNA, 451 nt
Filed under: uncultured Fibrobacter sp.
Lineage: Bacteria; Pseudomonadati; Fibrobacterota; Fibrobacteria; Fibrobacterales; Fibrobacteraceae
Description: bacterial SSU rRNA
Rfam family: Bacterial small subunit ribosomal RNA
Source: RNAcentral
ACGGAAGGCAGCAGUAGGGAAUAUUGCACAAUGGGGGAAACCCUGAUGCAGCACCGCCACGUGUGGGAAGAAGCAUUUCGGUGUGUAAACCACUGUCGUGAGGGAAUAAGGCAUUGUUUCGGCGAUGUUGAAUGUACCUCGAAAGGAAGCACCGGCAAACUUCGUGCCAGCAGCCGCGGUAAUACGAGGGGUGCAAGCGUUGUUCGGAAUCACUGGGCGUAAAGGGAGCGCAGGCGGAGAUGCAAGCGGACUGUCCAAUCCCGGGGCCCAACCCCGGACCUGCAGUCCGGACUGCACCUCUUGGAUAGUUCAGGGGCAAGCGGAAUUCCUGGUGUAGCGGUGGAAUGCGUAGAGAUCAGGAAGAACACCGAUGGCGAAGGCAGCUUGCUGGGGACUUAUCGACGCUCAUGCUCGAAAGUGCGGGUAGCAAACAGGAUUAGAUACCCUGGUA